AUUGAACGCUGGCGGCAUGCUUUACACAUGCAAGUCGAACGGCAGCACAGGGAGCUUGCUCCUGGGUGGCGAGUGGCGAACGGGUGAGUAAUGUAUCGGAACGUGCCUGGUAGUGGGGGAUAACUACUCGAAAGAGUGGCUAAUACCGCAUGAGAUCUUUGGAUGAAAGCGGGGGACCUUCGGGCCUCGUGCUACUGGAGCGGCCGAUAUCAGAUUAGGUUGUUGGUGGGGUAAAGGCCUACCAAGCCUGCGAUCUGUAGCUGGUCUGAGAGGACGACCAGCCACACUGGGACUGAGACACGGCCCAGACUCCUACGGGAGGCAGCAGUGGGGAAUUUUGGACAAUGGGCGCAAGCCUGACCAGCAAUGCCGCGUGCAGGACGAAGGCCUUCGGGUUGUAAACUGCUUUUGUACAGAACGAAAAGUCUCUGGCUAAUAUCUAGAGAUCAUGACGGUACUGUAAGAAUAAGCACCGGCUAACUACGUG
Molecule: ribosomal RNA, 487 nt
Filed under: uncultured bacterium
Lineage: Bacteria
Description: partial 16S ribosomal RNA
Rfam family: Bacterial small subunit ribosomal RNA
Source: RNAcentral